RNAcentral lists this ribosomal RNA (458 nucleotides) under uncultured Treponema sp. RNAcentral describes it as "partial 16S ribosomal RNA". It matches the Rfam family "Bacterial small subunit ribosomal RNA", at positions 341 to 792 of the family's 1533-position model. Lineage: Bacteria; Pseudomonadati; Spirochaetota; Spirochaetia; Treponematales; Treponemataceae. The record is from RNAcentral.
ACGGAAGGCAGCAGCUAAGAAUAUUCCGCAAUGGGCGAAAGCCUGACGGAGCGACACCGCGUGGAUGAAGAAGGCCGGAAGGUUGUAAAAUCCUUUUGAAACCGAGGAAUAAGCAUCGGAGGGAAUGCCGGUGUGGUGACUGUAAGUUUUGAAUAAGCAACGGCUAAUUACGUGCCAGCAGCCGCGGUAACACGUAAGUUGCGAGCGUUGUUCGGAAUUAUUGGGCGUAAAGGGCAUGUAGGCGGUCUGGCAAGCUUGGUGUGAAAGCCCGGAGCUCAACUCCGGAACAGCAUUGAGAACUACCGGCUAGAAUCACUGAGGGGGAACCAGAAUUCCAGGUGUAGGGGUGAAAUCUGUAGAUAUCUGGAAGAACACCAAUGGCGAAGGCAGGUUUCUAGCAGAUGAUUGACGCUGAGGUGCGAAGGUGCGGGGAGCAAACAGGAUUAGAUACCCUGGUA